This 31-nucleotide non-coding RNA is filed under the name Rattus norvegicus (Norway rat). Lineage: Eukaryota; Metazoa; Chordata; Mammalia; Rodentia; Muridae. The record is from RNAcentral.
UGCCAUUCUACCUCAUGAGGUACACAUGUGU